RNAcentral lists this small RNA (107 nucleotides) under Marmota monax (woodchuck). The record is from RNAcentral. Lineage: Eukaryota; Metazoa; Chordata; Mammalia; Rodentia; Sciuridae.
GCUGGGUGUGAUGGCGCAUGCUUAUAAUCCCAGCACCUCGGGAGGCUGAGGCAGGAGGAUCAUGAGUUCAAAGCCAGCCUCAGGAACUCAGCAAGAUCCUGUCUCUA